GGAUCGGAGCCUGCAACCCGGCUCCGUGAAGCUGGAUUCGCUAGUAAUCGCGCAUCAGCCAUGGCGCGGUGAAUACGUUCCCGGGCCUUGUACACACCGCCCGUCAAGCCAUGGGAGCCGGGGGCNCCUGAAGUGCGGUACCGCGAGGGCCGCCCAAGGGCGAGACCGGUGACUGGGGCUAAGUCGUAACAAGGUACC
This 198-nucleotide ribosomal RNA is filed under the name uncultured bacterium. RNAcentral describes it as "partial 16S ribosomal RNA". It matches the Rfam family "Bacterial small subunit ribosomal RNA", at positions 1295 to 1500 of the family's 1533-position model. The record is from RNAcentral.